GUACAUGGAAAAUAAUAGUCUUGCCCAUGCUUUAUCUGAUGAAAAUAAUCAGCUUAAACUGGAUUGGCCUACAAGACUUAAGAUCUGUAUUGGGAUAGCUAAGGGUCUAGCUUUUCUCCACGAAGAAUCAAGACUUAAGAUUGUUCACAGAGACAUCAAAGCUACUAAUGUGCUGCUAGAUAAGGACUUGAACCCAAAAAUUUCGGACUUUGGGUUGGCUAGACUUGAUGAAGAGGAAAAGAGCCACAUCAGCACCCGGAUUGCUGGAACCAUAGGGUAUAUGGCACCAGAAUAUGCGCUAUGGGGUUACUUGACUGACAAAGCAGAUGUUUACAGUUUUGGAGUUGUUGCAUUGGAAACUGUUGCUGGAAAGAACAAUAUGAAAUAUCGACCAGAUGAAAAUUUUGUCUGCCUCAUGGAUUGUGUAAGAUAUUUGGCAUGUUCUUUUGAGUUUGAUGCAUCAAGCAUGCAACAAAAGCCAUACUUAUUGCUGCAAAAUAAAUAUCUGUUUGAUUCUACAGAAUAUGAAUAUCAUUGUGAUAUCAAGCUCAGGUGUGCCAAUUUCUUCUGUGGUUAUUUCAGGCUCUUGUUUUACAGCAAAAGGGAGACCUAAUGGAGCUGGUUGAUGCAAGAUUAGGAUCCCAGUUCAACAAGGAAGAAGCUGUUAGAAUGAUAAAAGUUGCAUUAUUAUGCACUUUUUCUUCACCUGCACUUAGACCUACAAUGUCUGAAGUAGUAAGGAUGCUUGAAGGCCGAGCUUCUGUUCAUGAAUUAGUGGUGAGUCAUGGUAUGUACGCUGAACAACUGGGAUCUGGGGCCUCAAUGAACAAGUUUGAUCAAAUUUCGCUUCAUAGUACAAGCAAAACUCGGCCUCUCAUUCAUUCAUCUGGUACACCAUGGACUGUCUGAUCAUCUUCAUCCUUAUAGCCGACUUCAACUAAUUUGAGAUUAAAACUUAAUUGUUAUUGUUAUGGCAGUUAGUAUAUAACUUUAUGCUGCUGUCAACUUCCAUGGUGUGUGAAAUUCUGGCUUUUUUCACCAUAGAUACUAUAAUCUAUGCAAGUAGAAAACUUCCAAGCUUGCUCACAUGAUACCCAACUUCAAUUUAAACCAACGCCCUCAACAGUAAGAAAAUACGUAUUUGUAUUUUGGAGAUGGACAUGAAAGGUGAGGAUUACGGUACAUCACUAGGAUGUUUUUUAUUUUUUUUUAGUAUGGAUAUUAAGGGAAUAGGGAUUCAAACUAGAGGCUCUCAUAUAUUUUCAGUCACUGAAUCAAGCUAAACUAGAUAGACAUGCUCACGGUAAUUGUUAUCCCACAUUGGUUUGAGAUGAGGUAUUUGAGAUAUAUAUAUGAUUUAGGUAAACCUCUGAAAUAAUUUUUUGGUGGAAUUAAGUCCAUUUUAUUUUUUCUACUUUCAUAUUUGCAUGUGAGGGGUCGGGCUUUUGUACCAUAAAAGCCACUAUCGUAUGAUUGCACAGUAAAAC
RNAcentral lists this unclassified non-coding RNA (1487 nucleotides) under Hevea brasiliensis (rubber tree). Lineage: Eukaryota; Viridiplantae; Streptophyta; Magnoliopsida; Malpighiales; Euphorbiaceae. The record is from RNAcentral.